UACAGAGGUGGCAAGCGUUGUUCGGAUUUACUGGGCGUAAAGGGCGCGUAGGCGGCGUGGUAAGUCACUUGUGAAAUCUCUGAGCUUAACUCAGAACGGCCAAGUGAUACUGCUGUGCUAGAGUGCAGAAGGGGCAAUCGGAAUUCUUGGUGUAGCGGUGAAAUGCGUAGAUAUCAAGAGGAACACCUGAGGUGAAGACGGGUUGCUGGGCUGACACUGACGCUGAGGCGCGAAAGCCAGGGGAGCAAACGGG
Molecule: ribosomal RNA, 253 nt
Filed under: uncultured bacterium
Lineage: Bacteria
Description: partial 16S ribosomal RNA
Rfam family: Bacterial small subunit ribosomal RNA
Source: RNAcentral